RNAcentral lists this long non-coding RNA (2769 nucleotides) under Salmo trutta (river trout). RNAcentral's name for it is "lncRNA (ENSSTUG00000026368.1)". The record is from RNAcentral. Lineage: Eukaryota; Metazoa; Chordata; Actinopteri; Salmoniformes; Salmonidae.
AUGUCCUGUGUGUGUGUGUAUGUCCUGUGUAUUUGUCCUGUGUGUGUGUGUAUUUGUCCUGUGUGUGUGUGUCCUGUGUGUGUGUGUGUGUCCUGUGUGUGUGUGUGUGUCCUGUGUGUGUGUCCUGUGUGUGUGUGUGUGUGUGUCCUGUGUGUGUGUGUGUGUGUGUGUGUGUGUGUCCUGUGUUUGUGUGUGUGUAUGUCCUGUGUGUGUGUGUGUGUGUGUUUUCUGUGUGUGUGUGUUUUCUGUGUGUGUGUGUGUGUGUGUAUGUCCUGUGUGUGUGUCCUGUGUGUGUGUGUGUGUCCUGUGAAUGUGUGUGUGUGUGUGUGUCCUGUGGUGGUGUGGUGUGUGUGUCCUAUGUGUGUGUGUGUGUGUCCUGUGUGUGUGUGUGUGUGUGUCCUCUGUGUGAUGUGGUGUCCUGUGUGUGUGUGUGUCCUGUGUGUGUGUGUGUGUGUGUGUGUCCUGUGUGUGUGUGUGUGUCCCCUGUGUGUGUGUGUCCUGUGUGUGUGUGUCGUGUGUGUGUAUGUAUGUCCUGUGUGUGUGUGUGUGUGUGUGGUGUGUGUAUGUCCUGUGUGUGUGUGUGUGUAUGUCCUGUGUGGUGUGUGUGUGUGUGUGUGUGUGUGUGUAUGUCCUGUGUGGUGUGUGUGUGUGUGUGUAUGUCCUGUGAGUGUGUGUGUCCUGUGUGUGUGUGUGUCCUGUGUGUGUGUGUGGUGUGUCCUGUGUGUGUGUGUGUGUGUGUGUCGUGUGUGUGUGUGUGUUGUGUGUGUGGUCCUGGUGUUGUGUGUGUGUGUUGUCGUGUGUGUGUGUGUGUGUGUGUGUGUGUCCUGUGUGUGUGUGUGGUGUCCUGUGUGGGUGUGUGUGUGGGUCCUGUGUGUGUGUGUGUCCUGUGUGUGUCCUGUGUGUGUGGUGUGGUGUGUGUCCUGUGUGUGUGUGUGUGUGUGUGUCCUGUGUGUGUGUGUGUCCUGUUUGUUUGUGUGUCCUGUGUGUUUGUGGUGUCCUGUGUGUGUUGUGUGUGUGUCCUGUGGGUGUGUGUGUGUGUCCCUGUGUGUGUGUGUGUGUCCGUGUGUGUUGUGUCCUGUGUGUGUGUGUGUGUGUAGGUCCAGUGUGUGUGGUGUGUGUGUGUCCUGUGUGUGUGUGUGUGUGUGUCCUGUGUGUGUAUGUCCCUGUGUGUGUGUGUGUGUCCUGUGUGUCCUGUGUGUGUGUCCUGUGUGUUGUGUGUGUGUGUGUGUCCUGUGUGUGUGUCCUGUGUGUGUGUGUCCUGUGUGUGUGUGUCGUGUGUGUGUAUGUAUGUCCUGUGUGUGUGGUGUGUGUGUGUGGUGUGUGUGUAUGUCCUGUGUGUGGUGUGUGUGUAUGUCCUGUGUGUGUGUGUGUGUUGUGUGUGUGUAUGUCCUGUGUGUGUGGUGUGUGUGUGUGUGUAUGUCCUGUGAGUGUGUUGUCCUGUGUGUGUGUGUGUCCUGUGUGUGUGUGUGUGUGUCCUGUGUGUGUUGGUGUGUGUGUGGUCGUGUGUGUGUGUCCUGUGUGUGUGUGUGUCCUGUGUGUGUGUGUGUGUGUCGUGUGUGUGUGUGUGUGUGUGUGUGUGUCCUGUGUUGUGUGUGUGUGUGUCCUGUGUGUGUUGUGUGUGUGUCCUGUGUGUGUGUGUGUCCUGUGUGUGUCCUGUGUGUGUGUGUGUGUGUGUCCUGUGUGUGUGUGUGUGUGUGUGUCCUGUGUGUGUGUGUGUCCUGUGUGUUUGUGUGUCCUGUGUGUUUGUGUGUCCUGUGUGGUGGUGUGUGUGUGUGUCCUGUGUGUGUGUGUGUGUCCUGUGUGUGUGUGUGUCCUGUGUGUGUGUGUCCUGUGUGUGUGUGUGUGUGUAUGUCCAGUGUGUGUGUGUGUGUGUCCUGUGUGUGUGUGUGUGUGUCCUGUGUGUAUGUCCUGUGUGUGUGUGUGUCCUGUGUGUCCUGUGUGUGUGUCCUGUGUGUGUGUGUGUGUCCUGUGUGUGUGUGUCCUGUGUGUGUGUGUGUCCUGUGUGUGUGUGUAUGUCCUGUGUAUGUGUUGUGUAUGUCCUGUGUGUGUGUGUGUGUAUGUCCUGUGUGUGUGUGUGUGUAUGUCCUGUGUGUGUGUGUGUGUAUGUCCUGUGUGUGUGUGUGUGUAUGUCCUGUGUGUGUGUGUGUGUGUGUGUGUGUGUGUGUGUGUGUGUGUGUGUGUAUGUCGUGUGUGUGUAUGUCCUGUGUGUAUGUCCUGUGUGUGUGUGUGUGUCCUGUGUGUGUGUGUGUGUGUGUCCUGUGUGUGUGUGUCCUGUGUGUGUGUGUCCUGUGUGUGUGUGUGUCCUGUUGUGUGUGUGUGUCCUGUGUGUGUGUGGUGUCCUGUGUGUGUGUGUCCUGUGUGUGUGUGUGUGUGUUUGUGUGUCCUGUGUGUGUGUGUGUGUGUGUGUGUGUGUCCAGUGUGUGUGUGUGUCCUGUGUGUGUGUAUGUCCUGUGUGUGUGUAUGUCCUGUGUGUGUGUGUGUGUGUGUAUGUCCUGUGUGUGUGGUGUGUGUGUGUAUGUCCUGUGUGUGUAUGUGUGGUGUGUGUGUUGUGUAUGUCCUGUGUGUGUGUUUAUGUCCUGUGUGUGUGUGUGUAUGUCCUGUGUUUGUGGUGUGUUUGGUGUGUGUGUGUGUGUGUGUGUGUGUGUGGUGUGUGUAUGUCGUGUGUGGUAUGUCCUGUGUGUAUGUCCUGUGUGUGGUGUGUCCUGUGUGUGUGUGUGUGUGUGUGUCCUGUGUGGUGUGUGUCCUGGUGUGUGUGUCCUGUGUGUGUAG